GAUAAGAGAGGUCUUGGGGAGCCAGGCCCAGGGUUGGGGUCUCAGAAGGCAGUGCUGUUGGGGCAUCUGCACCAUGGCCUGGGCUCUGGUCCUCCUCAGUCUCCUCACUCAGGACACAGGGUCCUGGGCCCAGUCUGCCCUGAAUCAGCCUCCCUCAGUGUCCGGGGAUCUGGGACGCACAGUCACCAUCUCCUGUGCUGGCAGCAGCAAUGACAUUGGGAGAUAUAAUUACGUCUCCUGGUACCAACAGCUCGAAGGCACAUCCCCCAAACUCCUGAUUUAUAAUGUAAAUUCCCGGCCUUCAGGGAUCCCUGAUCGCUUCUCCGGCUCCAAGUCUGGCAACACGGCCUCCUUGACCAUUUCUGGGCUCCAGGCUGAAGAUGAGGCUGAUUAUUACUGUUGCUCAUAUGCUAAUGGUGUAUUUUGUGGGUCUGCCUCUGGCAUUGAGAGCCCCCUAGGCAUACUGAGGCACAGCAUCGAUGGCCUACCCCAGGAGCUCUCCCUCAGGAUACAGUCCUACAGAACUUCAAUAGCUCGUUGA
Molecule: non-coding RNA, 541 nt
Organism: Herpailurus yagouaroundi (jaguarundi)
Lineage: Eukaryota; Metazoa; Chordata; Mammalia; Carnivora; Felidae
Source: the annotation of a RefSeq genome assembly